UAAUACCGGAUAAGCCCACGGUAUCUUUGGAUUCUGCGGGAAAAGGGGGGGACCUUCGGGCCUUCUGUCAUCAGAUGAGUCUGCGUACCAUUAGCUAGUUGGUAGGGUAAUGGCCUACCAAGGCUACGAUGGUUAGCUGGUUUGAGAGAAUGAUCAGCCACACUGGAACUGAGACACGGUCCAGACUCCUACGGGAGGCAGCAGUGGGGAAUUUUGCGCAAUGGGCGAAAGCCUGACGCAGCAACGCCGCGUGAGUGAUGAAGGCUUUCGGGUCGUAAAGCUCUGUCGAUGGGAAAGAAGUGUAUUGGGGCUAAUAUCCUUGAUACUUGACGGUACCCAUAAAGGAAGCACCGGCUAACUCCGUGCCAGCAGCCGCGGUAAUACGGGGGGUGCAAGCGUUGUUCGGAUUUAUUGGGCGUAAAGAGCGUGUAGGCGGUUUGUUUAGUCUGAUGUGAAAGCCCUGGGCUCAACCCAGGAAGUGCAUUGGAAACUGGCAGACUUGAAUACGGGAGAGGGCAGUGGAAUUCCUAGUGUAGGAGUGAAAUCCGUAGAUAUUAGGAGGAACACCGGUGGCGAAGGCGGCUGCCUGGACCGAUAUUGACGCUGAGACGCGAAAGCGUGGGUAGCAAACAGGAUUAGAUACCCUGGUAGUCC
Molecule: ribosomal RNA, 654 nt
Filed under: uncultured bacterium
Lineage: Bacteria
Description: bacterial SSU rRNA
Rfam family: Bacterial small subunit ribosomal RNA
Source: RNAcentral